GUGGGGAAUCUUGCGCAAUGGGCGAAAGCCUGACGCAGCCAUGCCGCGUGAAUGAUGAAGGUCUUAGGAUUGUAAAAUUCUUUCACCGGGGACGAUAAUGACGGUACCCGGAGAAGAAGCCCCGGCUAACUUCGUGCCAGCAGCCGCGGUAAUACGAAGGGGGCUAGCGUUGCUCGGAAUUACUGGGCGUAAAGGGCGCGUAGGCGGACAGUUUAGUCAGAGGUGAAAGCCCAGGGCUCAACCUUGGAAUUGCCUUUGAUACUGGCUGUCUUGAGUACGGGAGAGGUGAGUGGAACUCCGAGUGUAGAGGUGAAAUUCGUGGAUAUUCGGAAGAACACCAGGGGCGAAGGCGACUCACUGGCCCGUUACUGACGCUGAGGCGCGAAAGCGUGGGGAGCAAACAGGAUUAGAAACCCGAGUAGUCC
This 425-nucleotide ribosomal RNA is filed under the name uncultured bacterium. RNAcentral's name for it is "partial 16S ribosomal RNA". It matches the Rfam family "Bacterial small subunit ribosomal RNA", at positions 354 to 796 of the family's 1533-position model. The record is from RNAcentral.